GACGAACGCUGGCGGCGUGCCUAAUACAUGCAAGUAGAACGCUGAAGGAGGAGCUUGCUUCUCUGGAUGAGUUGCGAACGGGUGAGUAACGCGUAGGUAACCUGCCUGGUAGCGGGGGAUAACUAUUGGAAACGAUAGCUAAUACCGCAUAAUAGCAGUUGUUGCAUGACAACUGUUUGAAAGGUGCACUUGCACCACUACCAGAUGGACCUGCGUUGUAUUAGCUAGUUGGUGGGGUAACGGCUCACCAAGGCGACGAUACAUAGCCGACCUGAGAGGGUGAUCGGCCACACUGGGACUGAGACAAGGCCCAGAAUCCUAAGGGAGGCAGCAGUAGGGAAUCUUCGGCAAAGGACGGAAGUCUGACCGAGCAACGCCGGGUGAGUGAAGAAGGUUUUCGGAUCGUAAAGCUCUGUUGUAAGAGAAGAACGAGUGUGAGAGUGGAAAGUUCACACUGUGACGGUAUCUUACCAGAAAGGGACGGCUAACUACGU
RNAcentral lists this ribosomal RNA (494 nucleotides) under uncultured bacterium. Its description in RNAcentral is "partial 16S ribosomal RNA". It matches the Rfam family "Bacterial small subunit ribosomal RNA", at positions 28 to 506 of the family's 1533-position model. The record is from RNAcentral.